This 254-nucleotide ribosomal RNA is filed under the name uncultured bacterium. RNAcentral's name for it is "partial 16S ribosomal RNA". It matches the Rfam family "Bacterial small subunit ribosomal RNA", at positions 524 to 776 of the family's 1533-position model. The record is from RNAcentral.
UACGUAGGGUGCAAGCGUUGUCCGGAAUUAUUGGGCGUAAAGGGCUCGUAGGCGGCCAACUAAGUCGGAUGUGAAAUCCCCAGGCUUAACCUGGGAACUGCAUCCGAUACUGGAUGGCUUGAAUCCGGGAGAGGGAUGCAGAAUUCCAGGUGUAGCGGUGAAAUGCGUAGAUAUCUGGAGGAAUAUCGGUGGCGAAGGCGGCAUCCUGGACCGGCAUUGACGCUGAGUGAGCGAAAGCCAGGGGAGCAAACGGG